This 394-nucleotide ribosomal RNA is filed under the name uncultured bacterium. RNAcentral's name for it is "partial 16S ribosomal RNA". It matches the Rfam family "Bacterial small subunit ribosomal RNA", at positions 338 to 729 of the family's 1533-position model. The record is from RNAcentral.
CCUACGGGAGGCAGCAGUGAGGAAUAUUGGUCAAUGGACGAGAGUCUGAACCAGCCAAGUCGCGUGAAGGAUGACUGCCCUACGGGUUGUAAACCUCUUUUAUCAAGGAGUAAAGCGAGGCACGUGUGCCUUUUUGCAUGUACUUUAUGAAAAAGGAUCGGCUAACUCCGGGCCAGCAGCCGCGGUAAUACGGAGGAUCCGAACGGUAUCCGGGUUUAUUGGGGUUAAAGGGGGCGUAGAUGGGUUGUUAAGGCAGUUGUGAAAGUUUGGGGCUCAACCGCCAUAUUGCAAUUGAUACUGGCAGUCUUGAGUAGAAGUGAGGUAGGCGGAAUGCGUGGUGUAGCGGUGAAAUGCAUAGAUAUCACGCAGAACCCCGAUUGCGAAGGCAGCAUGC